Schizosaccharomyces pombe (fission yeast) is the source of this 1046-nucleotide non-coding RNA. The record is from the annotation of a GenBank genome assembly. NCBI's taxonomy places the organism in Eukaryota, Fungi, Ascomycota, Schizosaccharomycetes, Schizosaccharomycetales, Schizosaccharomycetaceae.
UUACAAUCCAAAGGACCAUAUAAAAAUGCUAAAGCUGAAAAAUAUUCCUGCCAGUGUGCGCAACUUAACAUGAUGACUUCUUUAUUUCCAUUCAAAAUAUCAAGCAAAACAACAAAAUCAUCCAAAACUUCCGAAUCAAUAUCCCGAUGUUUCUUAACCACAUGUCUGAGGUUAGCCAAGCGUGAUCGCCACAGUUUCCAUCGUCUUUCAAAAUCGGAAACCGACCUAAUUCUCUUUUGGUGCGUACAAGGGCUGUAACGUAAUAUAUCAAUAAGUUCGUCAACUGUUUCUUUAAGUACAGGCCACUCCUUCGUUAAACCGGACAUCUCGAGGCAUGAUAUAGUUUGUUCAAAAAGUCCACGAAUAGCUGUUUUAUUAACAUAAGGCCAAAAUUCAGGAUGUUGGUAAGGUAUACGAUAAGCCAUGAUUUCGAGUCCAUCAUCGGCAAUAGGCUGUGGAUCAUAGGCAUUUACCCAAUCUAAAAUUCCUGUUGAUAAGGUAUAAGGAGAAGAAGGGGGGAAAUAAAUAGCUUCAGCACAGCGCCAAGCUGAUUCCACUUCCCAUAAAGAAUCCAAAACAGGCUGACAAUCUUUUUCACCCUCGUUAAUACGCGACUGCAACUCCUCUAAAACUUGUAUAAUUUUAGAGCGGAAGAGCGAGCUUAUUUUCCCAUAAAACUGCGUUAACAAAAGCAAAUUUGCCUCGCUGUCCAAGAUAGGAGUCAUAUAGGUAUCUUGUAAUUCUUCCCAUAAUUCAUGCCAUGCGGUCAAAAGGUAAUUUGGUUCAAUUAGAGUAGAAGGAGUACUAAAUUCAUACACCAGAGAUUCUACUUCUUCAAAUUUAUCAGACUUUAACGUAUUUUCGUCAAAUUCUUUGUUAUUAAUGUACGCUAGUCCUUUUCUCAAAAAAGGAUGCAAUUUGAAGGCUACCGUUCGGCCUUUUGAACGCCAGUCAUUCAACUUUCCAUUUUCUAUAGGUGCAUUUUGUAAAUGAUAAACAGGAAGAUCCACUUCAUCCGAAGAUUCCAUAUUGGAAUGUUAGUAGUU